RNAcentral lists this ribosomal RNA (253 nucleotides) under uncultured bacterium. RNAcentral's name for it is "partial 16S ribosomal RNA". It matches the Rfam family "Bacterial small subunit ribosomal RNA", at positions 524 to 776 of the family's 1533-position model. The record is from RNAcentral.
UACGGGGGGAGCAAGCGUUGUUCGGAUUUACUGGGCGUAAAGGGCGCGUAGGCGGCCACGCACGUCCGUUGUGAAAUCGCCCGGCUCAACUGGGCGGGGUCAGCGGAUACGGUGUGGCUAGAGCAAGCUAGGGGGCAAUGGAAUUCCCGGUGUAGUGGUGGAAUGCGUAGAUAUCAGGAGGAACACCAGCGGCGAAGGCGGCACUCUGGGCUGGAACUGACGCUGAGGAGCGAAAGCGUGGGGAGCGAACAGG